UGAGUAAAGUGGCGUACGGGUGAGUAACACGUGGAUAAUCUACCCUGGAGUGGGGAAUAACGCUGGGAAACCGGCGCUAAUACCGCAUAAUCCCGAGAGGGCAAAGGAGCAAUUCGCUUCAGGAGGAGUCCGCGGCCGAUUAGCUAGUUGGCAGGGUAAAAGCCUACCAAGGCAACGAUCGGUAGCCAGCCUGAGAGGGCACACGGCCACACUGGCACUGAAACACGGGCCAG
RNAcentral lists this ribosomal RNA (233 nucleotides) under uncultured bacterium. Its description in RNAcentral is "partial 16S ribosomal RNA". It matches the Rfam family "Bacterial small subunit ribosomal RNA", at positions 87 to 334 of the family's 1533-position model. The record is from RNAcentral.